This 525-nucleotide ribosomal RNA is filed under the name uncultured bacterium. Its description in RNAcentral is "bacterial SSU rRNA". It matches the Rfam family "Bacterial small subunit ribosomal RNA", at positions 381 to 896 of the family's 1533-position model. The record is from RNAcentral.
CCGUGACGGAGUGACGCCGCGUGGGGGACGAAGGCCUUCGGGUCGUAAACCCCUGUCAGAGGGAAAGAAGGGUGUCGGCGCGAUAACCGCCGGCAUCUGACGGUACCUUCAGAGGAAGCCCCGGCCAACUCUGUGCCAGCAGCCGCGGUAAGACAGAGGGGGCAAGCGUUGCUCGGAAUCACUGGGCGUAAAGGGCGCGUAGGCGGGAUGGCAAGUCAGUCGUGAAAUCUCUCGGCUCAACCGAGAAACGUCGGCUGAUACUGCCGUUCUUGAGGGAUGCAGAGGAGACUGGAAUUCCCGGUGUAGCGGUGAAAUGUGUAGAGAUCGGGAGGAACACCGGUGGCGAAGGCGGGUCUCUGGGCAUUUCCUGACGCUGAGGCGCGAAAGCGUGGGGAGCAAACGGGAUUAGAUACCCCGGUAGUCCACGCUGUAAACGAUGACGACUAGGUGUGGGGUGGGUUAGUCCAUUCCGUGCCGCAGCUAACGCAUUAAGUCGUCCGCCUGGGGAGUACGGCCGCAAGGUUG